This 498-nucleotide ribosomal RNA is filed under the name uncultured bacterium. Its description in RNAcentral is "partial 16S ribosomal RNA". It matches the Rfam family "Bacterial small subunit ribosomal RNA", at positions 28 to 507 of the family's 1533-position model. The record is from RNAcentral.
GACGAACGCUGGCGGCGUGCCUAAUACAUGCCAGUCGAACGAGAGCGACCGGUGCUUGCACUGGUCAAUCUAGUGGCGAACGGGUGAGUAACGCGUGGGUAACCUGCCCAUCAGAGGGGGAUAACAUCCGGAAACGGAUGCUAAAACCGCAUAGGUCUUCGAGCCGCAUGGCUUGAAGAGGAAAAGAGGCGCAAGCUUCUGCUGAUGGAUGGACCCGCGGUGCAUUAGCUAGUUGGUGAGGUAACGGCUCACCAAGGCCGUGAUGCAUAGCCGACCUGAGAGGGUGAUCGGCCACAUUGGGACUGAGACACGGCCCAAACUCCUACGGGAGGCAGCAGUAGGGAAUCUUCCGCAAUGGACGCAAGUCUGACGGAGCAACGCCGCGUGAGUGAAGAAGGUUUUCGGAUCGUAAAACUCUGUUGUUAGAGAAGAACAAGUGCUAGAGUAACUGUUAGCGCCUUGACGGUAUCUAACCAGAAAGCCAUGGCUAACUACGUG